GUCAUGUCCACCAGGAGGUUCUUUGACUUAUUUUAACAUGGUUUUUUUAACAUAUGUUCUACUGUGUUUGUCAGGCUGAAGAGCUUGCCGCUGGACGAGAUGGUCAAUCACGUAGCCACUGAAUCAUCAUCACCAACAUUGAUCGUUCGUGCUAAUUUUUCUAUUAUAUACUAUCCUUUGUGUACAGAGCUACAGCCAUGCUUAGCAUGCCAUCAACCUCAUUGAAAUUUAUGUUGCAUAAAGGAUAUAAGAAAGUUGUGUUGUUUUCACCUUGCAAUGGCAAAGACAAGAUUUAGCAAAAUAAGUACAGCAUCCAAAGUUUUA
Quercus lobata is the source of this 324-nucleotide long non-coding RNA. RefSeq lists it as uncharacterized. The transcript has 3 exons. Lineage: Eukaryota; Viridiplantae; Streptophyta; Magnoliopsida; Fagales; Fagaceae. The record is from RefSeq and is a predicted model, not a curated record.